GUACACUCCUACGGGAGGCAGCAGUGGGGAAUUUUGGACAAUGGGCGAAAGCCUGAUCCAGCAAUGCCGCGUGAGUGAAGAAGGCCUUCGGGUUGUAAAGCUCUUUUGUCAGGGAAGAAACGGUGAGAGCUAAUAUCUCUUGCUAAUGACGGUACCUGAAGAAUAAGCACCGGCUAACUACGUGCCAGCAGCCGCGGUAAUACGUAGGGUGCAAGCGUUAAUCGGAAUUACUGGGCGUAAAGCGUGCGCAGGCGGUUUUGUAAGUCUGAUGUGAAAUCCCCGGGCUCAACCUGGGAAUUGCAUUGGAGACUGCAAGGCUAGAAUCUGGCAGAGGGGGGUAGAAUUCCACGUGUAGCAGUGAAAUGCGUAGAUAUGUGGAGGAACACCGAUGGCGAAGGCAGCCCCCUGGGUCAAGAUUGACGCUCAUGCACGAAAGCGUGGGGAGCAAACAGGAUUAGAAACCCUGGUAGUCCCAUG
RNAcentral lists this ribosomal RNA (477 nucleotides) under uncultured organism. RNAcentral describes it as "partial 16S ribosomal RNA". It matches the Rfam family "Bacterial small subunit ribosomal RNA", at positions 331 to 799 of the family's 1533-position model. The record is from RNAcentral.